Molecule: ribosomal RNA, 486 nt
Filed under: uncultured bacterium
Lineage: Bacteria
Description: partial 16S ribosomal RNA
Rfam family: Bacterial small subunit ribosomal RNA
Source: RNAcentral
AUUGAACGCUGGCGGCAUGCCUUACACAUGCAAGUCGAACGGCAGCACGGGUGCUUGCACCUGGUGGCGAGUGGCGAACGGGUGAGUAAUACAUCGGAACAUGUCCUGUAGUGGGGGAUAGCCCGGCGAAAGCCGGAUUAAUACCGCAUACGAUCUACGGAUGACAGCGGGGGACCUUCGGGCCUCGCGCUAUAGGGUUGGCCGAUGGCUGAUUAGCUAGUUGGUGGGGUAAAGGCCAACCAAGGCGACGAUCAGUAGCUGGUCUGAGAGGACGACCAGCCACACUGGGACUGAGACACGGCCCAGACUCCUACGGGAGGCAGCAGUGGGGAAUUUUGGACAAUGGGCGAAAGCCUGAUCCAGCAAUGCCGCGUGUGUGAAGAAGGCCUUCGGGUUGUAAAGCACUUUUGUCCGGAAAGAAAUCCUUGGCCCUAAUACGGUCGGGGGAUGACGGUACCGGAAGAAUAAGCACCGGCUAACUACGUG